This 72-nucleotide transfer RNA is filed under the name Deltaproteobacteria bacterium. RNAcentral's name for it is "tRNA-Glu". It matches the Rfam family "tRNA". From Rfam's summary of the family: Transfer RNA (tRNA) molecules are approximately 80 nucleotides in length. Their secondary structure includes four short double-helical elements and three loops (D, anti-codon, and T loops). Lineage: Bacteria; Pseudomonadati; Myxococcota; Myxococcia. The record is from RNAcentral.
GCCCCCAUCGUCUAGUGGUUAGGACAUCGGUCUUUCAAGCCGGUAGUCGGGGUUCGAAUCCCCGUGGGGGCG